UGGGGAAUUUUGGACAAUGGGGGCAACCCUGAUCCAGCCAUGCCGCGUGAGUGAAGAAGGCCUUCGGGUUGUAAAGCUCUUUCGGCGGGGACAAAAAGGCGACCGUGAAUAACGGUUGUUCAUGAUGGUACCCGAAGAAGAAGCACCGGCUAACUACGUGCCAGCAGCCGCGGUAAUACGUAGGGUGCGAGCGUUAAUCGGAAUUACUGGGCGUAAAGCGUGCGCAGGUGGUUUCGUAAGUCAGAUGUGAAAUCCCCGGGCUUAACCUGGGAAUGGCAUUUGAGACUGCGAAGCUAGAGUACGGCAGAGGGAGGUGGAAUUCCACGUGUAGCAGUGAAAUGCGUAGAUAUGUGGAGGAACACCGAUGGCGAAGGCAGCCUCCUGGGCCAGUACUGACGCUCAUGCACGAAAGCGUGGGGAGCAAACAGGAUUAGAUACCCCCGUAGUCC
This 449-nucleotide ribosomal RNA is filed under the name uncultured bacterium. Its description in RNAcentral is "bacterial SSU rRNA". It matches the Rfam family "Bacterial small subunit ribosomal RNA", at positions 355 to 796 of the family's 1533-position model. The record is from RNAcentral.